Panthera uncia (snow leopard) is the source of this 869-nucleotide long non-coding RNA. RefSeq lists it as uncharacterized. The transcript is spliced from 5 exons. NCBI's taxonomy places the organism in Eukaryota, Metazoa, Chordata, Mammalia, Carnivora, Felidae. The record is from RefSeq and is a predicted model, not a curated record.
CAGAGCUUUAAACCUUGAUCUCACUUCCUUAACCUAUUUGUAUUUCCCAGUGAUGGAAAAUAGUCAAAACAAACAACUAUACAAGCACCGCCUCCAAAAACCAUGAUAACAAAAAACGGAAACAAACUGAAACCCUUUGACCGAAAAGGCAAAAGGCAAAGCAGAACAAAACAAAACCGAGAUGCUUAUCUAUAUGGUGCAGUCUACCUAAAUUCAAAAUCUGUUUCUUUUGUGGCUCAUACGGAUUCUUUGUUGAAGUACUUUCAGUGCAAAGCUGAACCAAACGAAAGUGGAGUAAAUGCUCAUGACCAUUAUUUCCCAUGAAAUUACUGCUGGCUUCAAAGCUUUUACCACCUCACCUUUCUGGAGAACUUGAGUUCUAAUAGUGUCACAUCGCAGGACCUCUCGUGCCGUUUCUGGAAUCUGAAAUUGACCUGGACAUCUGAGUUCAUGAAAACAAAAGGAAGACAAAUCUCCUUAUUGACCGAAAAUUACACUAACAAUUCAACAGACGAGCUUCAACAGAUGAUGAGCAAAGUUGCUAAUUAAUAAACUGUGGAGUUUAAAAAAUAGAGGGGACUAUAAAUUAAAAAUCGAGCUACAUUCCUGACUUUGUACAUGACCAUGAGAAUGUCAAGUCUCAACUAUCCUCAGAAUUAUUGAGGAGAAAGGCCAAUGACCACAUCAAAAUAUAGUUCUUUGAGACUUUCAUCUAAACAAGAAGAAACACGUGAACUACAAUGGUCAAUAUGAGGAACAAAGACUGAUGGAAGAGGAAGCAAAAAGGCAAUGGAGGAAAUAAUUUAGGAAAUUAUGGUAUAAAAAAUAGAAAAGAGAGGUAGAAAGGAAUUAUUCAAGAAAAUAUAAAA